This 1597-nucleotide long non-coding RNA is filed under the name Triticum aestivum (bread wheat). RNAcentral describes it as "long non-coding RNA (TAES_LNC001490)". The record is from RNAcentral. Lineage: Eukaryota; Viridiplantae; Streptophyta; Magnoliopsida; Poales; Poaceae.
AUCUACCUGACGUGUUGUGCAAUUCACAAAUAAUUAAGCUAGACAAACUUACCAAUUGUUGAUUAUUAUAAUCAAAGAAAAAGACUAGUCCUGCUUCUGGACAGUUUGUCAUUCUUAUAGCAAUCAAUGAAAGUCAAUCAAGGCCCUUAACAGUUCAGGCAGUGUGUAACAACAUAAAAACAAGGCUAUUCAGGCAGUGUAUAACAACAGUUAUAUCUGUCGCCGCUGGAGAUUCCCCAUAGAGGAGCGUCCUCUUUGGUAACCUAAAAAGCCUUGAGCAUGGCUAUUCAGUGCCGUUCUCAGUUCUUACGCCUGCAAACAGUAACAACUACUGUAGCAACUAGCUAGCUAGAAAAAACGUGAGUUCUAUGCAUGUGCAUGGCCGUCUGAUGAUGAUCCAUAAUCCAUAAUCAACAAAAUUGCUGUAAGUAACUAAUAAGGAUGAUCCUUGAAGGAUGCCACCUGAAGAAAAUUUGGUUAGAUCCAUCUAUGCCGAUGACUCAAGCACCAUGAAAAGAUGGUUCAUUCUGCAUAGCAUGGUAAAGAAAUUACAAGAAUGACACAGUUAUAUUUGGAAAGAAAGGAAUCCAGCCAGAAUCCAUCUGCAAAAUUGGUGGAAGAAAUAUGUUGGCAAUGCACAGCAGUUUCAAACAAACAGAUAGAUAAUCCACGAGAAUUAGCAGUACAAAUUAUGAAGGUCUUCUGACACUAGCUAUGGAUCAAGUGCCACUUUGCAUUAUAUAUUUCAAUUAUUCACAAAAGUCAUGAAAACCAGACUGCUAACGCAUGGGGUCAGGUCAUGUUCCUAUGUUAAGAUCAAACAUUUUAAUGAGAAAAUAAGACAUUUACUUAUUAUGCGUCUUAAUAUUCUGUUCAACCUCCUAAACCAUAACAUGCAAAUAAAACAAGGUUUUUAUGUGUUGUUAUUUGAAACAAAAUAAUCAUAGUUGACAAACAUUUUUCAAUUUACACAUCUAACAAAAUGUACGCAUAACCGAACUAAUGCUCAAGGCAUAAACCAUGUGUGAUGGCGGUGUAUAUUGGUUAAUUAAAGGUACAAGUUCCAUUAGGCUAUCAGAAUACUAGAGAAGAUUAUAGAAGAAAAUCACUUAAGAAUUCUUUUACAAUAAUGGUUAUUUGCUACAAAAGAUUUAUUUAGUGCGUUGUGACUGUGAGUGUCCUUGUUGAAAUCUGAACAGAUAUACAGGGAAACAAACAGUUGAUAGCAUCUUGAUCCAUACAUACAGGUGAUGAGCUCGAUGAUGAUAGAGGCGUUGUGGCGGUCACUGGUAGCGAGUGUAGAGGAUGUGGUGGUGCAACACUUGGUUGAUUAAUUAGUGGUUGAGCUCGACAGGGCCGCCUGGAGCAGCUCUACCAGCAUCCCGGCAUCCGUUCUCCACAGCAGCAUGUGCUGCAUGACUGCACCCCGAGAAGGUGUAGACCCCACGAAGAAGAGGAAUCGAUGCAGCUCGCAGUUGACCAGCUUGAACUCGAUGCCGCGAAGAAGACGACCGUGUUCAGGCAGAGGCGUUGGGAGUGAGAACGAGGGAGUCCUUGGAGAGGCCAUCCGGGACGAACUCCUCCGGAGACAGGCGNN